Molecule: unclassified non-coding RNA, 345 nt
Filed under: soil metagenome
Description: partial contains 5.8S ribosomal RNA, internal transcribed spacer 2, and large subunit ribosomal RNA
Rfam family: 5.8S ribosomal RNA (bases 1-119)
Source: RNAcentral
GAUGAAGAACGUAGCGAAAUGCGAUACGUAAUGUGAAUUGCAAAUUCAGUGAAUCAUCGAGUCUUUGAACGCACAUUGCGCCCCCUAGUAUUCCGGGGGGCAUGCCUGUCCGAGCGUCAUUGCUGCCCUCAAGCACGGCUUGUGUGUUGGGCCCCGUCCUCCGAUCCCGGGGGACGGGCCCGAAAGGCAGCGGCGGCACCGCGUCCGGUCCUCGAGCGUAUGGGGCUUUGUCACCCGCUCUGUAGGCCCGGCCGGCGCUUGCCGAUCAACCCAAAUUUUUAUCCAGGUUGACCUCGGAUCAGGUAGGGAUACCCGCUGAACUUAAGCAUAUCAAUAAGCGGAGGA